This is a long non-coding RNA of Drosophila ananassae, 385 nucleotides long. RefSeq lists it as uncharacterized. The record is from RefSeq and is a predicted model, not a curated record. The transcript has 3 exons. Lineage: Eukaryota; Metazoa; Arthropoda; Insecta; Diptera; Drosophilidae.
AGGUCAAAUUUUUCCAGCGCGCCGCAGCGGAGCUCUUGUGCACAGCUGUGUCGUCUUUUGUGUCUCUGUGAUUGUCUACCGCUUUUAUUUAAGUAGCCAUUCAAUAAUUUGGAAGAAUCCGCGGCCCUCAUCAACGCGUUACUGCAGGGCAGGUGGUUUUCAGUUCAAAAAAGAGACAACUGAACUGUCAAUUGGAAAGGAAAAAUACUUCAGGAAAAAAAUACACCAACUCAAGCCUACAGAAUUUUGGAUGUAUAAUAAAAAGAUAAUGGUUGAGCAUAGUUUACAAUUAACUAUGGUAGAUGGAAAGAUCGAGCAAGCAACGCGUCAACCUAACAGAAACGUUAAAAACAAUUUAAGAAUGCCAAAAGGCUAUAAAGAAAGU